This 429-nucleotide ribosomal RNA is filed under the name Pseudomonadota bacterium. Its description in RNAcentral is "Proteobacteria bacterium partial 16S ribosomal RNA". It matches the Rfam family "Bacterial small subunit ribosomal RNA", at positions 355 to 776 of the family's 1533-position model. The record is from RNAcentral. Lineage: Bacteria; Pseudomonadati; Pseudomonadota.
UGGGGAAUAUUGGACAAUGGGCGAAAGCCUGAUCCAGCCAUGCCGCGUGUGUGAAGAAGGUCUUCGGAUUGUAAAGCACUUUAAGUUGGGAGGAAGGGCAGUAAGCGAAUACCUUGAUGUUUUGACGUUACCGACAGAAUAAGCACCGGCUAACUCUGUGCCAGCAGCCGCGGUAAUACAGAGGGUGCAAGCGUUAAUCGGAAUUACUGGGCGUAAAGCGCGCGUAGGUGGUUCGUUAAGUUGAAUGUGAAAGCCCCGGGCUCAACCUGGGAACUGCAUCCAAAACUGGCGAGCUAGAGUAGGGCAGAGGGUGGUGGAAUUUCCUGUGUAGCGGUGAAAUGCGUAGAUAUAGGAAGGAACACCAGUGGCGAAGGCGACCAACUGGGCUCAUACUGACACUGAGGUGCGAAAGCGUGGGGAGCAAACAGG